GAAAUCCACUAGGGGAGCCGCAAUCGGCGGCUGAGACAAGAAUUUUUGGACCCUUUGAACCUGAUCCGGGUAAUACCGGCGGAGGGAAGUGGAGACGGCCGGUU
This 104-nucleotide non-coding RNA is filed under the name Paenibacillus alvei. RNAcentral describes it as "TPP sequence". It matches the Rfam family "TPP riboswitch aptamer (THI element)". From Rfam's summary of the family: Vitamin B(1) in its active form thiamin pyrophosphate (TPP) is an essential coenzyme that is synthesised by coupling of pyrimidine and thiazole moieties in bacteria. Lineage: Bacteria; Bacillati; Bacillota; Bacilli; Caryophanales; Paenibacillaceae. The record is from RNAcentral.